CGGGGAUCCUGGCUGUAAGCUGGAUGAAAAUACAGAUUGAACCUCCCAAGACACAUUUUUCAGAAGGAGGAUGCAUGAAGAGUAAGCACACAUAGUUUGGUGAUGCAACAGAAGAUCUGGCAAUAGGCAAGAAAGAUGUAGAUCUGGGGCCCCCAGGUUGGCUCUCCAAUCGUCUACCUGAUUUCACAAAAGGGCCGUACCUGUCUUGCCCUUGGAAGCAUUUAAUUGGUGACAAACGCCUCCCACCAUCUUGACAACUAGUUCAAAGCAGAGAAUAAUGGUCAUCAUUUAUCAAGUGCUCGUGAUGGGUCACUCUUCUGAGAUCUUCCGAUGUAUGAACUCAUUUAACCCUCAACAACUCCAUGAGAUGUAUCCUACAGAUUACAAAAAAGGGAAACUGAGACAAGAGACAUUCAGUGGUGUGCCUGUGGUCACACAACUAGUACGUGGCAGAAAUCCAAGGAAAAGCAAAGGGGGUUGACUCCGGAAUCCCAAUGCCUGACUUCUGAUCUACGCUGCCUUUCGGAUUAGCCAAAUGCACUCUCUUCUUCGAAUGUUUCCAAUUUCGUGAUCUCUCUUCGGCUGUGUUCCAGCCUAACAAGAGUUUCUCACCAUAUGUACACACACAUUGCACCUACAGGUUGAUAUUUUAUGUAAUAAAUUUCAUCUAUAGAAUAUA
Herpailurus yagouaroundi (jaguarundi) is the source of this 679-nucleotide long non-coding RNA. RefSeq lists it as uncharacterized. Lineage: Eukaryota; Metazoa; Chordata; Mammalia; Carnivora; Felidae. The transcript has 2 exons. The record is from RefSeq and is a predicted model, not a curated record.